Molecule: non-coding RNA, 24 nt
Filed under: Arabidopsis thaliana (thale cress)
Lineage: Eukaryota; Viridiplantae; Streptophyta; Magnoliopsida; Brassicales; Brassicaceae
Source: RNAcentral
AACGUCCCGCCAAACCCGUCCCGC